GACGAACGCUGGCGGCGUGCUUAACACAUGCAAGUCGAACGGAAAGGCCCUUCGGGGUACUCGAGUUGCGAACGCGCGAGUAACACUUGGGUGAUCUUCCCUUCACCUUGGGAUAAGCCUGGGAAACUGGGUCUAAUACCGAAUAGGACCACGCGCUUCAGCGUGUGUGGGGGAAAGCUUUGGCGGUGUGGGAUGGGCCCGCGGCCUAUCAGCUUGUUGGUGGGGUAGUGGCCUACCAAGGCCACGACGGGUAGCCGGCCUGAGAGGGUGACCGGCCACACUGGGACUGAGAUACGGCCCAGACUCCUACGGGAGGCAGCAGUGGGGAAUAUUGCACAAUGGGCGCAAGCCUGAUGCAGCGACGCCGCGUGAGGGAUGACGGCCUUCGGGUUGUAAACCUCUUUCAAUAGGGACGAAGCGCAAGUGACGGUACCUAUAGAAGAAGCACCGGCCAACUACGUG
Molecule: ribosomal RNA, 462 nt
Filed under: uncultured bacterium
Lineage: Bacteria
Description: partial 16S ribosomal RNA
Rfam family: Bacterial small subunit ribosomal RNA
Source: RNAcentral